ACUUGGGUAGCCUAUAAAAUAGGGUAUAACACUGAAGAUGUUGAGGAGGCUGGUUGCCCCCAAGCA
RNAcentral lists this transfer RNA (66 nucleotides) under Atrina pectinata. RNAcentral's name for it is "tRNA-Phe". Lineage: Eukaryota; Metazoa; Mollusca; Bivalvia; Pterioida; Pinnidae. The record is from RNAcentral.